Rhagoletis pomonella (apple maggot) is the source of this 1713-nucleotide RNA transcript. It is a transcript of the gene named targeting protein for Xklp2, with no coding region annotated. The record is from RefSeq and is a predicted model, not a curated record. Lineage: Eukaryota; Metazoa; Arthropoda; Insecta; Diptera; Tephritidae. The transcript is spliced from 2 exons.
ACGAGGCAAAUAUUGCAAAAUAACGCAAAUCUUUUCGUGAUAUCUAAUUCAAUAUUUCCGUAAUUUUUACAUAAUUGUUACGGUUUCAAUAUCAAACAAUCGUAAAAAAAAGAAAGUUGAUCUUGGACAAUUUUUUGGUAAAUGUGAUUAACUGCUCGAAGUCAAAGAAAUCGUGUAACCUACUUCGUAGCUAGCGAACUGCAGGCGUAUCUCCGUUCCAUCGAGUGCACCGCCUACGUAUAUACCUUCUAUAACAUCUUAAACAUAUCACACUGAGGUUUUUGUAAUCGCUGCUAACCACACAUUGAGGCGCAAAGUGUAAACCUGUCAUCAUGGUGGAUCGCCUAGUUAACUCGGAGGCCAACUCCAGGCGUAUAGCUAUGGUAGAAAGCUGCUUUGGUAGCUCAGGCGUGCCUUUGGCAAUUCCUGGACGGGUGCUAGUUGGCGAAGGAGUUCUCACUAAAAUGUGCCGCAAGCGUCCAAAGUCCAGACAAUUCUUCCUCUUCAAUGAUAUCUUAGUGUAUGGUAAUAUUGUUAUUGGGAAGAAGAAAUAUAAUAAGCAGCAUAUUAUGCCAUUGGAAGAAGUGUCACUUGAAUCAUUAGAAGAUAAUGGUCAAUACCGAAAUGGCUGGCUCAUACGUACCACAACAAAAUCUUUUGUUGUUUUUGCCGCUACCAGCACUGAAAAGCAGGAAUGGAUGGCACACAUCAACAAGUGUGUGGAAGAUUUGUUGCGCAAGAGUGGCAAGAAGCCCGUUGAAAAUCACGCUGCCGUAUGGGUGCCUGACGCUGAGGCCACCCACUGUAUGCAUUGCAAGAAAACUCAAUUCACAAUGAUCGUACGUCGUCAUCAUUGUCGUAAUUGCGGUGCAGUCGUUUGCGGGCCUUGUUCGUCGAAGAAAUUCCUAUUACCUCAACAGAGCUCUAAGCCGGUGCGUGUGUGUACCGCUUGCUAUGAACGGCUGUCUAAAGUCGUCAAAAUAGAAUCGUCCAAAACGGCUCUUGGAACUACUGCUGGAAACCAAGGGACACCUGCAGCGUCCAUCGAUGGUAAUGGCGCUGGUGCAGUAGCGAAAUUAGCUGAUAGUUCUGGGGAUGAUGAUUCCGACGAGGAAGGCGCUGGCAAUGUUAGCGAAAUGCACGAUGAACCACGUUUCUACGGUGAUACAACUUUGUCGGCUGAUGAAUCUACAGCAUCAUCAGCGGCGCUCAAUUCCAGCCACACACCCAGUGUUAACAACUGAUGCGUGCAGUCAACUGCGUUGGUGGGGGGUUUAUUAGAAGAAAGCGGUGACGGGCAUGGGGACAAAUGCCGUCACAAUGUCAGAUGUAGCGGUGGGUGUGACGAUAUAAAGCAAAGCAAGCAAACAAAAAUUCAUAAAAUAAAACAGAAACAACAAAAUGAAACAACUGAAACAAACCAGCCAGAACAGCAAGAGGAUGGACGUAAUAAAAAGGUGUGGCACUUCGUCUGGCAACGAAAAGGAUUAACAAAAAUAUUCUUCCCUGGAAAUGGAAGAAGAAGAACGUAAAAAACGUGAAGAAGCACGCAUUAAGGAGUUGCGAAAGCUCACUACAUUUAAAGCACGACCAAAUCCUUUCAAGUAGACUCCUACCAACAACCACAGUAAUACAUAGAUAUAUAGUUAUAAAUAUGAUUUAAACGCCACAUGUUAAUAUACAUAAAUAUCAAUUAAAAUAUCAAAACACAAA